Molecule: unclassified non-coding RNA, 202 nt
Filed under: Hevea brasiliensis (rubber tree)
Lineage: Eukaryota; Viridiplantae; Streptophyta; Magnoliopsida; Malpighiales; Euphorbiaceae
Source: RNAcentral
UCAGUUUCAAGAUUUCUGCCUCAGCGUCGUUGGAUAGUGGUGAGCAAUCCUAGCUUGUGUUCAAUCAUUUCAAAAUGGCUUGGGACAGAAGCAUGGAUCCGUAAUGUUGACCUCAUAGCAGGUUUAAGAGAAUAUGCAGAAGAUCCUGAUUUACACACUGAAUGGAAGAAUAUGAAGAGAGUUAACAAAAUGAGGCUUGCUG